GAAGGUCAGGCUGAAGACCUUACCCGAUUAGCUGAGAGGUGGUGCAUGGCCGUCGUCAGUUCGUACUGUGAAGCAUCCUGUUAAGUCAGGCAACGAGCGAGACCCACGUCCACAGUUGCCAGCAUACCCUCCGGGGUGAUGGGUACACUGUGGAGACCGCCGCUGCUAAAGCGGAGGAAGGAGUGGGCAACGGUAGGUCAGUAUGCCCCGAAUCUCCCGGGCUACACGCGGGCUACAAUGGUUGGUACAAUGGGCAUCUACCCCGAAAGGGGAAGGAAAUCUCUUAAAGCCAAUCGUAGUUCGGAUUGAGGGCUGCAACUCGCCCUCAUGAAGCUGGAAUCCGUAGUAAUCGCGUUUCAACAGAACGCGGUGAAUACGUCUCUGCUCCUU
RNAcentral lists this ribosomal RNA (390 nucleotides) under uncultured Methanosaeta sp. Its description in RNAcentral is "bacterial SSU rRNA". It matches the Rfam family "Archaeal small subunit ribosomal RNA", at positions 949 to 1338 of the family's 1478-position model. Lineage: Archaea; Methanobacteriati; Methanobacteriota; Methanomicrobia; Methanotrichales; Methanotrichaceae. The record is from RNAcentral.